GACGAACGCUGGCGGCGUGCUUAACACAUGCCAGUCGAACGGAAAGGCCCCUUUGGGGGUACUCGAGUGGCGAACGGGUGAGUAACACGUGAGUAACCUGCCCUUGACUUCGGGAUAACUUCAGGAAACUGGGGCUAAUACCGGAUAGGAAUCCUUGCUGCAUGGUGGGGGUUGGAAAGCUUCGGCGGUUUUGGAUGGACUCGCGGCUUAUCAGCUUGUUGGUGGGGUAGUGGCUUACCAAGGCUUUGACGGGUAGCCGGCCUGGGAGGGCGACCGGCCACAUUGGGACUGAGAUACGGCCCAGACUCCUACGGGAGGCAGCAGGGGGGAAUAUUGCACAAUGGGCGGAAGCCUGAUGCAGCAACGCCGCGUGCGGGAGGACGGCCUUCGGGUUGUAAACCGCUUUCAGCAGGGGCGAAGCUUGUGGUGACGGUACCUGCAGAAGAAGCACCGGCUAACUACGUG
Molecule: ribosomal RNA, 465 nt
Filed under: uncultured bacterium
Lineage: Bacteria
Description: partial 16S ribosomal RNA
Rfam family: Bacterial small subunit ribosomal RNA
Source: RNAcentral